AAAUAAACUUUGUAGUAAGUUACUGGUUGGUUAUUAAUAACCUUAAGAAUUAGACUGAUGAUUAGGCAGUUUAGUUGAUAACAAUAGGUUGUUAGUAGAAUAAAUGGUUAAGAAUUCAAAGGAUCAUAACCUUUGGAAUCUGCUGGCCAAUGGAUCAUCUUUUUAGUAGGAUAAAUAGGUUGAAGAAAGAGAGAUCAAAGCCAGAUUGUAAGAGUUGUAAGCCGAGAGCCAGACUGUGAGAGUUAUAAGCCAAGGUAAACUUAGUGCUACCUCUUUGUUUUCUUUGCUUUUAUUAUUUUCUUAUGAAGAAUUGUGAUUGAGAGAAGUAUUAUUGAAUUGAUAGUCAUAGAAUGGAUUAUGUGUUGAAUUAAGAUGGAAAAAGUAAGCCUUGGUGUUUUGUAGUUUGAUAAUUGAUUUCAGAUAGCCAGAGUACAGUC
This 437-nucleotide long non-coding RNA is filed under the name Physcomitrium patens. RNAcentral describes it as "long non-coding RNA (PPAT_LNC008012)". The record is from RNAcentral. Lineage: Eukaryota; Viridiplantae; Streptophyta; Bryopsida; Funariales; Funariaceae.